RNAcentral lists this ribosomal RNA (253 nucleotides) under uncultured bacterium. Its description in RNAcentral is "partial 16S ribosomal RNA". It matches the Rfam family "Bacterial small subunit ribosomal RNA", at positions 524 to 776 of the family's 1533-position model. The record is from RNAcentral.
GACAGAGGCCCCAAGCGUUAGGCGGAAUCACUGGGCUUAAAGCGUGUGUAGGCGGAUCGUUAAGUGUCUUGUGAAAUCCCACGGCUCACCCGUGGAACUGCUGGGCAUACUGGCGAUCUUGGGCCAACUAGGGGCAGCCGGAACAAGCGGUGGAGCGGUGAAAUGCGUAGAUAUCAUUUGGAACGCCAAUGGUGAAAACAGGUAGCUGGGAGUGUGCUGACGCUGAGACACGAAAGCCAGGGGAGCAAACGGG